GGUCGGGUGCCAGAGUGGUCCAAUGGGGCGGAUUGCAAAUCCGUUUAUCGUGGGUUCGAAUCCCACCCCGACCU
Molecule: transfer RNA, 74 nt
Filed under: Phycisphaerales bacterium
Lineage: Bacteria; Pseudomonadati; Planctomycetota; Phycisphaerae; Phycisphaerales
Description: tRNA-Cys
Rfam family: tRNA
About the family: Transfer RNA (tRNA) molecules are approximately 80 nucleotides in length. Their secondary structure includes four short double-helical elements and three loops (D, anti-codon, and T loops).
Source: RNAcentral